AUUGAACGCUGGCGGCAUGCCUUACACAUGCAAGUCGAACGGUAACAGGUCUUCGGAUGCUGACGAGUGGCGAACGGGUGAGUAAUACAUCGGAACGUGCCUAGUAGUGGGGGAUAACUACUCGAAAGAGUGGCUAAUACCGCAUGAGAUCUACGGAUGAAAGCAGGGGUUCGCAAGACCUUGUGCUACUAGAGCGGCCGAUGGCAGAUUAGGUAGUUGGUGGGAUAAAAGCUUACCAAGCCGACGAUCUGUAGCUGGUCUGAGAGGACGAUCGGCCACACUGGGACUGAGACACGGCCCAGACUCCUACGGGAGGCAGCAGUGGGGAAUUUUGGACAAUGGGCGCAAGCCUGAUCCAGCAAUGCCGCGUGCAGGAUGAAGGCCUUCGGGUUGUAAACUGCUUUUGUACGGAACGAAAAGCCCUGGGUUAAUACCCUGGGGUCAUGACGGUACCGUAAGAAUAAGCACCGGCUAACUACGUGCCAGCCGCCGCCGUAA
Molecule: ribosomal RNA, 498 nt
Filed under: uncultured bacterium
Lineage: Bacteria
Description: partial 16S ribosomal RNA
Rfam family: Bacterial small subunit ribosomal RNA
Source: RNAcentral